This 177-nucleotide ribosomal RNA is filed under the name uncultured bacterium. RNAcentral describes it as "partial 16S ribosomal RNA". It matches the Rfam family "Bacterial small subunit ribosomal RNA", at positions 1324 to 1500 of the family's 1533-position model. The record is from RNAcentral.
AGCUGGAAUCGCUAGUAAUCGCGGAUCAGAAUGUCGCGGUGAAUACGUUCCCGGGCCUUGUACACACCGCCCGUCACACCAUGAGAGUCGAUAACACCCGAAGCCUGUGAGCUAACCUUAGGGGAGCAGCAGUCGAAGGUGGGGUUGAUGAUUAGGGUGAAGUCGUAACAAGGUACC